UAGGGAAUCUUCCACAAUGGACGCAAGUCUGAUGGAGCAACGCCGCGUGAGUGAAGAAGGUUUUCGGAUCGUAAAGCUCUGUUGUUGGUGAAGAAGGAUAGAGGUAGUAACUGGCCUUUAUGUGACGGUAAUCAACCAGAAAGUCACGGCUAACUACGUGCCAGCAGCCGCGGUAAUACGUAGGUGGCAAGCGUUGUCCGGAUUUAUUGGGCGUAAAGCGAGCGCAGGCGGAAGAAUAAGUCUGAUGUGAAAGCCCUCGGCUUAACCGAGGAACUGCAUCGGAAACUGUUUUUCUUGAGUGCAGAAGAGGAGAGUGGAAUUCCAUGUGUAGCGGUGGAAUGCGUAGAUAUAUGGAAGAACACCAGUGGCGAAGGCGACUCUCUGGUCUGCAACUGACGCUGAGGCUCGAAAGCAUGGGUAGCGAACAGG
This 429-nucleotide ribosomal RNA is filed under the name bacterium. RNAcentral's name for it is "partial 16S ribosomal RNA". It matches the Rfam family "Bacterial small subunit ribosomal RNA", at positions 355 to 776 of the family's 1533-position model. The record is from RNAcentral. RNAcentral also lists the same sequence under 1 other name.